This 253-nucleotide ribosomal RNA is filed under the name uncultured bacterium. Its description in RNAcentral is "partial 16S ribosomal RNA". It matches the Rfam family "Bacterial small subunit ribosomal RNA", at positions 524 to 776 of the family's 1533-position model. The record is from RNAcentral.
UACAGAGGUCUCAAGCGUUGUCCGGAUUCAUUGGGCGUAAAGAGCGUGUAGGCGGCCAGGUAGGUCCGCUGUGAAAACUCGAGGCUCAACCUCGAGAUGUCGGCGGAAACCAUCUGGCUAGAGUCCGGAAGAGGAGAGUGGAAUUCCUGGUGUAGCGGUGAAAUGCGCAGAUAUCGGGAGGAACACCUAUUGCGAAGGCAGCUCGCUGGGACGUCACUGACGCUGAGACGCGAAAGCGUGGGGAGCGAACAGG